CUUAUGGCUUACAGUGACUUUGUAAUAUUACCAACAUCUUCUACUGGACUUACAACCGAGAUCUCACGUCCCAUUGUGAACUUAAAAGCAAGCAAUAUAAAACACCAACACAACAAUCAAUUAUACUGUCUAUCUGUAUGCCCAUCUAUCUAUUUAUCAAAUGCAGAAAGUACUGCUUAUUUUUAUAAUUUUGUCUUUUUU
Molecule: non-coding RNA, 201 nt
Organism: Pelobates cultripes (western spadefoot toad)
Lineage: Eukaryota; Metazoa; Chordata; Amphibia; Anura; Pelobatidae
Source: the annotation of a GenBank genome assembly